GAUUUUUGUGUGUUGAACCAUACUUGCAUCCCUGGGAUAAAUUCCACCUGGUCUUGGUGAAUGAUCCUUUCAAUGUGUUGUAAAAUUUGGUUUGCUUGUAUUCUGUUGAGAAUUUUUGUAUCUAUUUGACAGAGUCUCACUCUGUCGCU
This is a long non-coding RNA of Nomascus leucogenys (northern white-cheeked gibbon), 149 nucleotides long. RefSeq lists it as uncharacterized. The transcript has 3 exons. The record is from RefSeq and is a predicted model, not a curated record. Lineage: Eukaryota; Metazoa; Chordata; Mammalia; Primates; Hylobatidae.